Molecule: transfer RNA, 76 nt
Filed under: Synergistaceae bacterium
Lineage: Bacteria; Thermotogati; Synergistota; Synergistia; Synergistales; Synergistaceae
Description: tRNA-Thr
Rfam family: tRNA
About the family: Transfer RNA (tRNA) molecules are approximately 80 nucleotides in length. Their secondary structure includes four short double-helical elements and three loops (D, anti-codon, and T loops).
Source: RNAcentral
GCCGGUGUAGCUCAGCAGGUAGAGCAGCUGAUUUGUAAUCAGCAGGUCGCCGGUUCAAACCCGUCCACCGGCUCCA